This 448-nucleotide ribosomal RNA is filed under the name uncultured bacterium. Its description in RNAcentral is "bacterial SSU rRNA". It matches the Rfam family "Bacterial small subunit ribosomal RNA", at positions 328 to 793 of the family's 1533-position model. The record is from RNAcentral.
GGCCCAGACUCCUACGGGAGGCAGCAGUCGAGAAUCAUUCACAAUGGGGGAAACCCUGAUGCAGCGACGCCGCGUGUGGGAAGACGGUCCUCUGGAUUGUAAACCACUGUCCCCAGGGACGAAGAUGACGGUACCUGGGGAGGAAGCUCCGGCUAACUACGUGCCAGCAGCCGCGGUAAUACGUAGGGAGCGAGCGUUGUCCGGAAUUACUGGGUGUAAAGGGAGCGUAGGCGGGGAUGCAAGUUGGGUGUCAAAACUACCGGCUCAACUGGUAGUCGCACUCAAAACUGCAGCUCUUGAGUGAAGUAGAGGCAGGCGGAAUUCCUAGUGUAGCGGUGAAAUGCGUAGAUAUUAGGAGGAACACCAGUGGCGAAGGCGGCCUGCUGGACUGCAACUGACGUUGAGGCUCGAAAGCGUGGGGAGCAAACAGGAUUAGAUACCCCCGUAU